RNAcentral lists this ribosomal RNA (301 nucleotides) under uncultured bacterium. RNAcentral's name for it is "partial 16S ribosomal RNA". It matches the Rfam family "Bacterial small subunit ribosomal RNA", at positions 509 to 807 of the family's 1533-position model. The record is from RNAcentral.
CAGUAGCCGCGGUAAGACAGAGGAUGCAAGCGUUAUCCGGAAUUACUGGGCGUAAAGCGCGCGUAGGCGGUUUUUUAAGUCUGAUGUGAAAGCCCACGGCUCAACCGUGGAGGGUCAUUGGAAACUGGAAAACUUGAGUGCAGAAGAGGAAAGUGGAAUUCCAUGUGUAGCGGUGAAAUGCGCAGAGAUAUGGAGGAACACCAGUGGCGAAGGCGACUUUCUGGUCUGUAACUGACGCUGAUGUGCGAAAGCGUGGGGAUCAAACAGGAUUAGAGACCCGAGUAGUCCCUGUCUCUUAUAC